RNAcentral lists this ribosomal RNA (468 nucleotides) under uncultured bacterium. RNAcentral's name for it is "partial 16S ribosomal RNA". It matches the Rfam family "Bacterial small subunit ribosomal RNA", at positions 28 to 507 of the family's 1533-position model. The record is from RNAcentral.
GACGAACGCUGGCGGCGUGCUUAACACAUGCAAGUCGAACGGAAAGGCCCUGCUUUUGUGGGGUGCUCGAGUGGCGAGCGGGUGAGUAACACGUGAGUAACCUGCCCUUGACUUUGGGAUAACUUCAGGAAACUGGGGCUAAUACCGGAUAGGAGCUCCUGCUGCAUGGUGGGGGUUGGAAAGUUUCGGCGGUUGGGGAUGGACUCGCGGCUUAUCAGCUUGUUGGUGGGGUAGUGGCUUACCAAGGCUUUGACGGGUAGCCGGCCUGAGAGGGUGACCGGCCACAUUGGGACUGAGAUACGGCCCAGACUCCUACGGGAGGCAGCAGUGGGGAAUAUUGCACAAUGGGCGGAAGCCUGAUGCAGCAACGCCGCGUGCGGGACGACGGCCUUCGGGUUGUAAACCGCUUUCGCCUGUGACGAAGCGUGAGUGACGGUAAUGGGUAAAGAAGCACCGGCUAACUACGUG